GGGGAGAGCGGGAGCGCCCGGGACGCGCGGCGGCGGCGGGUUCAAUUAGCUAAACAAAGAAAUCAUGGCGGCUGUUUACGCGGCGCGGCGCGGCGGGCCCCGAGGAGCGGCGGAGCGGCCCCGCGCCCUGGCCGACUCUUGAGACUGUUGCUUUGCUGAAAACAUUUGACAGCUGCUCUGGAAUAUGACACUUAAGAUAACCCAGAGAAAGAUCACCUGCGGCGUCCUUGAUCAUGCAGCAGUCCUAGGAUAAUCAGAACCGUGGACAGCACCAUGCAGCUCCGGCUCCUCCCCAUGAAAAAACACAUGAUUUUCUAAGGAACUGCAUUGAAUGAUGCUUGUGGUAACACUGGACGAUGCCUCUGACUGCAGGGAACAGGAGUGACUGACCCUAGGGUCUCAGCUGCUGCCUUGGCAAUCCAUCCAGCUGCUGGCUCUCAUGACCGUGUAUCCUGCAAGUGGCUGUAAAAAUGACAAUUCUCAUGACUUUUGACAAAAGGCGUCCAUCUCCUCCAUGUCUGAGGUUUAGCAUAACACUGUAUUCACAGAAGCACCUGUUCAGGAUCCUCUCAUCUCUUCAACCAGCCCCAAAAGUUGAUAUCAACAAAUACUGAUACUGAGAUUCUUCAUGUCUUUUGAUAAGAAGAUGAAAAUGUUUCCUUGAAUGAUACCACAAACUCUUCCCCUUUCAUUGGAUGUGUUUUGUGGUCUUCUUCAUAAGGUUUUGUAUAAUUGGUAACAUCUUCUACAUCGGGAUUAGGGCCUGGCAGCUGUGGUGACAACAUAUCACCGACCAUCUAUGUUGGCAGCAACAUGACCCUGCCUUGAAUAUUAACCAUUGUUAACCUUCUCUAUGGUUUUUAUGUCAUGCUCCCAUAACAUUUAGAUGGGCCGAUUUGUAAGAGUACUUUUCAAAAAAAAAUUUAUUUUAUUUAAAGAAGAAAACAAAACAAAACAAAACAGGAAAAGGGUACAAGUAAUACAGAAUUUCAAAAAAAAUAAACAGUAAGAAAUCACUAGUUAAUAGAUUACAUAUUGUCGUCUUAGAAAUAGUUGUUCAAGUUACAAAAUUAAAGCACACAAAGUGGACAUUCAAACAGUAAGACUGCAAACAGUUGUGUUCAAUGAUCCAACAAAAACUUAGUAAUAUGGUCAUCUGUCUUACACACUUAAACAUACAUGCAGUUGUAUCCUUUAGAACACUUUCUUUUCUUCUCUUUUUUACAAUAACAAUUACACAUUUUAGGUUUUAUUACUCCCACAGUUCUUAUUACUUUUUUUUGUAAGAGAAUAAAACCAAAUGUGACAAAACAAAACAGAGUCAGUCAAAACAAAGGGAGGACAUAUAGUAUAUGAUGUAAAAACAGAAUACAAAGUGAUCAACAAUGGUUACCAUAAUGCCUCUUGCUACCUUAAAAAGGAUUGCCUAUAUUAUCAGGUAUUAUAAAAUUGAACAAAACAGUACAGAACAAACCAAUAAAACCAAAACAUUGGAGACAUUACAGGACUUCAAAAGAAGAUAAUAGUCAAACCAGAAUGGGCAUCACAGUGAAUCUGAUUGCCUUCAAAGUAGUUGCCUAUACUCUCAAACUUGAUACUAUCAAACAAAACAGAAUAGAGUAAAAUCAGUCAAAACAAGACAGUGAGAGCAAUACGGGGCUUCAAAUCAAGUUAAUAGGAAAUCAAAAAAGUUACUACAAUAUAUCCUGCUAUUUUUAAAUUUUUUCCCUUAAUUAAAAAAAUAACUUUUUAAAAAAAGGAGAUUGAGAUAAAAGAGGACAUAACUACACAGGUCAGAACAGAACAAUUUAAGCAACAUAGUGUUUCACCACAAGAUAACUCGACAUAAUAGUAGUUAUCAUAGUGUCUUUCCUUGAAGUAUUUGAGUAUAAUCUCAGCUACUAUAGCAUCAAACAUAUCAACACAGUGUGAAACCACUCAAGAGAAUGAAAGUUACAGGGUAUUUAGAACCAACUAACAGAAAACAAACAAUGGUUCCUAUAUUAUCUCCUUGCCUAUAAAAUUUUGUUUACACUAUCACAUAUAAUAAAAUCCAGUAAGAUACAACGUGAUAAAACCAAUGGAGUCAGAAGAACAACAGCUUGAUGGAACUUCAAAACAAGGUGAUAUUAAAUUAGCACUAGCUAUUAUGAUGUCUUGUUUUCUUCAAAAUAGCUAUUCAUACCAUCACAGAGAGUAUAAUCAAACAACCCAGUAGAAGAGUACUUUUUAAUGUAACAUUUGUUUAUAUCCAGUUUGCUAACAGGAUUAGUUUGUUUGGGAUCCCAAUUGGAUAAAGCUCACAGGAUUAAAGAAAAGACAAUCAUUAAGUUUCUAUAAGAAUGCUGAUGUCCUAGUCAAAUAGUAGCUUUCGUUUAAACUAAUUCUUGUUCUAGUUUUCUCUGUUUUCCAUUUACAUGCCUUUUUUGUUUUGGAUUAGUGGUUUACUUUUGAAUAUCAGAAUAUUUGGUGGUGCUCUUCAAGUAAUUAAAUUACAUCCACAACUAUCAUACAAUUCAUGCAGUUACCCUUUACCACUGUGUGACUGAGUGAGUGUAGCUGUUUAUUGUCCUGGGUUCACUCCAUUAGGUUUUCUUGUAAGAGGCAUAGUUCCUCCACAUUCUAGAAAAUGCUCCAUUUGUAUUUGCAUUGGCUCAAGGCUACACAUUACAGUAAUAAUUAUAUAUUUUUUUUAAUCUUGAAGAAAGUUACACUUUUCUUCCUACCCUGAGGCUAGUUCAGUUAAAUUGCUCCAUUGGAAAGAUAUCAAUAUAAUGCUUUUGUAAUCAAAAAAUUUGUAUGUUGUUAAAAAUUUGAGGAAUCACAUAUAAUAAUUCAGAUGCCUAAAUACAUCAUACCACAACUGAAUAACAUUAUCAUGAUAUUAUAUUGGUAAAAAUUUCUGAUGGCUAAUCCUUCCCCACCUUCGCUGAAAAUAUCCUUCAUAUUUCUAGCCCUAUAUUCAUUUAUAUUUUCCUUGAUGUUGUGUUUUUAGGUCCCUUUGAUGUAGGUGCUAUAGGUAAAAUGCUUUUUAAAUUUUGAUUAUAAUUUUAAAGAAUUUUAAAGAAUCCAGAAAUGUCCAGCAUUUCUAUGAAUACAUAUUGCUGUUAUAAACAAAUGAAAAUUAAUCAUAAAAAGAAUUGUAAAUAAAUAGAUAGAUAGAUAGAUAGAUAGAUAGAUAUUAGCAUCAUCCCAUAGGGAUAUGACCUAUAGAUCAUGUUUCUAGGUAACUCAUACUGUAAUUAGAAAAAAAGAUUCACAAUUUUAGUCAACUUUUAUAAGUAUGAUUUUUCACUAGAGAAUCAGAAGUGAUUUAUAAGUAAGCUUUACAGUAUAUCCCAGUACAUUUGAACAGCCUUGUUUCUUGGAUUUUGGGCAAUUACAUCUUCCAUCACAUUACCAACUAACAAAAAAAACAAACAAACAAAAAAAAAAAAGGAACAAACAGAGCUAAUGCUUCCCAGCUCUAUCCUUCCAUGGAAAGGAUAUUUUAUCUGCAUUGAUUUGAAUAUUCUAAUCACUUACAUGCCAUUUACUAGUAUAAUUAUCAUUUGAUCAUUUGCUUGUUACAGUGAGACUGGACACGAGGUACCUAGGUGUGGUAUCUAGCACAUCCUCACCAAAGUGCUGGCAGUGUACCGCAGAGUCAGCCAUGAAAUCAAGCUCCUUCACUUAGGAAGGAAAUAUAAAAUGAUUUUUUAAAAAAUUCUUGAAGUCUUUUUGAAAGCAUGCAAAGUAAAAAAGGGCAAGAACUUUAAGAAAGAGAGAAAAUUAAUAAAGGGCUGAGAAUACACAGAUGGAAAAAGUUGGCAGCUGGGCCAGACCUAGCAGCUCUCUGCUGCAAAGGACUUUCAGGGAGCACCAGGAGACUGGCAUGAGUCACAUGCUGGCAUUUCCUCCCUCCUCUCUCCUGCCUCCUCACACCAUGACUCCAAAUCAAAACUCUAACUUACCAAAAAUAAGAAUUCACUGCAUUGGAUUCAUAGCAGUGUGUUCCUACCUAAUCCCUUUUCCGUCCUCUGACUUGAUUAAUUUUAUAAUAGGAAUCACACGCAGGAGAGUAUUGGCAUCCCACUAAAUAGUCUGGAGAUGACUGGUCCUUCUGAAAACAGCCAGGCAGGCUGUUGCUGUGUGUGAGUGGAAAGCGCAGGCGAAGUCCUCUGUGCCAUCUCUGCCAGUGUGCCCGCUGACUUGAAUAAAGCAACUCCUCAACGCUGCACUUAGAAGGCUGAGCUUACCUAUAACCUUCUGACCUACAAAGGGUUACAUAAAUCUUGCUUACCUAAUGUUCUCUUGCAGUUCUUUUUAUAUUCUCAAACACAUUGUAUGGAUUUCUCUUCAAUGUCCCUUCAAUUCUAAGGGUGCUCUUGGUGGCAUGGAACUUCACUAAAUUUGUCAGUAAAAGCCAACCCCAGAGUUAAGAAAGCUGCAUAGUAGGCUCUUCUUACACCUGCCCGUCAGCCUCUGAAUGCUGAUGUGUGCUUGAAGUGAGGGAGCUUUAAGAAUCCUUGUUGACGUUGGUCUGAGAUCUCUCUGUCUGAGGUACUAUCAGGGAAUUCACAGGGCAUUCAUCAAAAUCAAGCUGAUGCAAGCAUGAACACUCACAAGAAAGAGCCCUUUUAUGCUGAAAACUGCUGAAGGCUGGAAGGGGCUAAUUUAUUUAAAUUAUACCUCUAAGUGUCAAGCCCCACACUUUCUGGAAGGAGCUGACAACUGUGGGUUAAAGAAAGUUUUCUCAAAUUUAUAAAUAAAUUAGUGAUGGUAGAAAUUUAACGUGGGAAAUCCGAGUCAUAGAAAAGUAAUCGUCAUUGAUGUUGAUGCAGAUGUAGGAAAAUAGUUUUCUGCUAUUAAGCUUUUAAAUGUCAGCAAAUGGCAGUUUAGUAGAUCAUUUGCUAAUAAUGAUUAAAUUUCUCAUUAAAAUGUUUCCUUCAUUAUUCUUCAGGUAGAAAUGUGUAAUUCAAUGACUGUUACAUCAAUUACACUUAAAAAGCUCAUUAAAAUACUGAAAUAUUAUCUCUGGUAGUCAGAGUGCUUUAAGAGUACUGUACUAAUUAUAAAAGAAAUAAACUCUUAUAAUAGCAACCAUUUGAACUGAUGCCUUAUAAAUUCUUAAUGUAAAGCUAACAUGUAAAGUUUAAAUCAAAUAUAUAGAUCCAAUAAAACAAAACCUUUUUAAUCUUGUUUUCCUUCAAAAGAACUCUGAUGAUUGUAAUUAAAUAAUGCAUGAUAUAAUAAAGAUCUAGAGUGUGUGAUUAUUUCAUUGGCAAUUGAAUAUUGGUGCUUUUUAUUUAUGCAAGCAAUGUAUCACAGGCAAUAUGCAUCAAGCAUUAAAAUAUUGAUACAAUUACACCUAGACUGCCGAACCAAUAAAAGAAAUCUGUGACAUGACUGCUCAUGAUAGUAGGACAGUCUGAAAUCUUUUUUAAAUUUUAAUACUCUGAUGUGCCAAGUUAUGCUAAUUUUGCUAAGAAAUAAUGCCUUCAAGAUUCAGUGUUGUGGUUUUCGAAUCCUGAGUGUGAACAGAUCCAGCUUUGCUCAGCAUGACUAACAAGAGAUUGUUUCUAUACACAUUUGACCCCCCCCUUUUUUAGAAAUAUAAACAGAACUAUAAGGUUGGGGUAAAUUUAUCCUAAAGCACAUUCAUUCAUAAUAAUCUUUCUCUAAUAUUCCUACUUAUCAAGUUUAAUGGUUCUUCUGAACACUGAAAUGAUCUUAGUCCUUCAAUCCUUUCUCAAGAGAAUAGAGAGAAAGUUUUCCUGGUAGUUCUUUUAUUAUUAAAUCCCCCGCAAGUGACCAUACAGGGCUCUGAGCUUAUUCAAGAAGUUCCUGACGGCAGCAAUAGAUGACGAGAUUCUCUGCCGUGUGCACACCUGGGGUUCAGUGUUACAUAGCUGACCCAUUUUCUCAUUGAUAAAAAUGGACCAACAACAUCUUUGUUCUGUACACCAAGGAGUAAUUUAACACAUAAUUAUUGACUUUAAAACGGAAACAGAAACAGACUUUAUGUUCAUUUGGCUGCUGAAUUGUUUGUGUGAUUGUAGGGACCUUCCUGUUUGCUUCUAGAGAUUCUUAGAAUCCUACCCUGGCUAUAGCAGUGUUUUCUGUCAUUCCACCCGGAAGCAGUCUUAUUACAGAAGGAUGCAAAGAGUCAGCAUAUGACAGCUGUACAAGGAACCAAAAACCAAUGGCAUAGUUCACGUUUGUAUUUAAUGAAAGAUGUUCCCGAGACCCUUACAAUGUCAUGUCUUCACUGGACCAAAUUUCACAUCAGAGUGGGAUCUAAUGGGAUUUCCACCAUUAUCGGACCUCUUGUAAGUGAUCUGAGAGCCCUGGUGAAUAUACUGUUUCCUAAGCAAAAGGUGCUUUCCAAAGAGGUGCCUGAUAACAUGGAGUUGUGAAAGCAAUGAGCAUUGUUGGGCCUGUAAAUAGGAGAUAUACAUUGUAGCAAUUUAAUUCAUUUUAAGAGUUGUACAGUAGAGCAAAUAACAGUGUGAGUGUCAUCCUCACCUGUCCUUCGACUAACUAUGUAGUUCCCCUUUUAGCAAUGUCAAGUGCAUGCGAGUCCUCUUUUCCUGUAUGAAUAAGUAGCAAUGGCUGGCAAUGAUACAGCACAGUUGAUCAUCAUGAAUGUCUAUAGGGUGUCAUAUUUAUGCUCUUCUGUUUAGCUUAAAUCUUACUCAGGUUCUAAUGGCAAGCAGUCCAGUUGCAAUGGGCUGGCACUACAAAGCAUCUGCUCUAUUCAGAUAAAUAAGACCAAUGUGUUUGAAGGGCAAAGUUUCAAUAUAAGUGGCCUGCCAUUUCAUUUGGAGAUGCAAUUCUUAUGCAGCAUAAGUAACAAAGGCGAAAGGAAUCAUUUGCUAAUUGAUUAAUUCUGAUGUAAAUGAAUUACAAACUUGUGGAAUGUUCUGUGUUUGCAGAAGUUAUAGCUGCCUUCAUUUCUCCUUUGAAUUUGCAAGUACAAGUAUUGAUGAGACUCUGUCCUAUUCAACAUGAUGUCUGUCGUACCAGGUGAGAGGUUAUAGCUAUGAUGGACUUCCGGGACUUGAAAAUUAUUCUUUAUUGGAUACUGGUAUGGCCUGUGUACUCUCAGAUGUAUGCCCAUACACAAAGAAAAAGAAAUUAAAUUUCAUUCAAAGCA
This is a long non-coding RNA of Cavia porcellus (domestic guinea pig), 7138 nucleotides long. RefSeq lists it as uncharacterized. Lineage: Eukaryota; Metazoa; Chordata; Mammalia; Rodentia; Caviidae. The transcript is spliced from 6 exons. The record is from RefSeq and is a predicted model, not a curated record.